GGGUGCCUCCCUUUGUCCGUCCGUCUGUCCAGGCUGGGUGUCCCUUGGGUGUCUCCGUCCGUCUGUCUGGACGAGGCACUGGGUGUCCUUUGGGUGACUCCAUCCGUCCGUCUGUCUGUCCAUCUGUCUGUCCAGGCAGGGUGCUGGGCGUCCCUUGGGUGCCUCUGUCUGUCUGUCUGUCCAUCCAUCUGUCUGUCUGGGCAGGGUGCUGGGCGUCCCUUGGGUGCCUCUGUCUGUCUGUCUGUCCAGGCAGGGCACUGGGUGUCCUUUGGGUGACUCUGUCCGUCUGUCUGUCCAGAUAUGGUGCUGGGUGUCCCUCGGGUGCUUCUGUCUGUCUGUCCAGGCAGGGCAAUGGGUGUCCUUGGGUGCCUCCGUCUGUCUGUCUGGACACAGUGCUGGGUGUCCCUUGGGUGCCUCUGUCUGUCUGUCUGUCCAGAUAUGGUGCCGGGCAUCCCUUUGGUGCAUCCGUCUGUCUGUCUGUCCAUCUGUCUGUCCAGGCAGGGUGCUGGGUGUCCCUUGGGUGCCUCCCUCUGUCCGUCCGUCUGUCCGUCCAGACGCACCCUUGGGUGCCCUCCCGUCCGUCUGUCCAUCCAGGUGGGGGCUCCCCGGGCUUCUCCAUCCGUCCGUCUGUCCAUCCACAGUCACCUCCAGGCACCCCCAGCCCUUGGGGCCUGUCCGUCUGUCUGUCCAUCCAUCCAUCUGUCCGUCCGUGCGCCCCCCCCCAAAAUUUCACCCUCUCCUCUCCCCGCAGCCGGGGGGGCAGCGCCCGCGCCCCCCACGCCAGGACCCCCGGGGCCGGCAGCAGCUCGGACGACGACGCCCCCCCCUCUCAGGGGGGGGGCAAAAGCUGCGCCUCCUGCAAGACCCAGCGCACCCCCCUGUGGAGGGCGGCCGAGAACGGGACCCCCCUGUGCAACGCC
This 920-nucleotide long non-coding RNA is filed under the name Anas zonorhyncha (Eastern spot-billed duck). Its description in RNAcentral is "lncRNA (ENSAZOG00000003581.1)". The record is from RNAcentral. Lineage: Eukaryota; Metazoa; Chordata; Aves; Anseriformes; Anatidae.